This 425-nucleotide ribosomal RNA is filed under the name uncultured bacterium. RNAcentral describes it as "partial 16S ribosomal RNA". It matches the Rfam family "Bacterial small subunit ribosomal RNA", at positions 354 to 796 of the family's 1533-position model. The record is from RNAcentral.
GUGGGGAAUCUUGCGCAAUGGGCGAAAGCCUGACGCAGCCAUGCCGCGUGGAUGAUGAAGGUCUUAGGAUUGUAAAAUCCUUUCACCGGUGAAGAUAAUGACUGUAGCCGGAGAAGAAGCCCCGGCUAACUUCGUGCCAGCAGCCGCGGUAAUACGAAGGGGGCUAGCGUUGCUCGGAAUUACUGGGCGUAAAGGGAGCGUAGGCGGACAUUUAAGUCAGGGGUGAAAUCCCGAGGCUCAACCUCGGAACUGCCUUUGAUACUGGGUGUCUUGAGUACGGGAGAGGUGAGUGGAACUCCGAGUGUAGAGGUGAAAUUCGUAGAUAUUCGGAAGAACACCAGUGGCGAAGGCGACACACUGGCUCAUUACUGACGCUGAGGCGCGAAAGCGUGGGGAGCAAACAGGAUUAGAUACCCGUGUAGUCC